RNAcentral lists this long non-coding RNA (1449 nucleotides) under Canis lupus familiaris (dog). RNAcentral describes it as "lncRNA (ENSCAFG00030024919.1)". The record is from RNAcentral. Lineage: Eukaryota; Metazoa; Chordata; Mammalia; Carnivora; Canidae.
AUGCCGAGACCCUCCCGGGCACAGGUGUCCAUGUGCGGGCGGGGAGGGCUGCCUCCCACCCGGGAGCUCUCGUUCCCAGGAGCCCAGAGCGGCGCCCACUCCCAGGGCCUAGACCCAGCGCCUCCGGGAGGGCUGCCGGGGAAGGCCGUGGAUCCGGGGCCUGGGGGCCGCACCGCCCCUCCCACCACGUCGCAGCCCCCAAGUCAGAGCUGCGAGCUUCCUCCCACAAAGGCCCAGCCGGGGAAGAUGGGAGCGUGGGCCCCCGCGGGGCAGCCUCACCUUCCCCCGGCACACGGCCAGGAAAGUGGCCCCAGUGGAGCCGGGACAGGCGACUCGUGCGUAGUAGGCGUCCACCACCUGGCGGGAGACGGCGCUCAGCCCCUCCGUCUGUGGGAGCGACACCCCGGGUCUCGUCCCGAGGUGAGGGGCCGUCCGGCUGGGGGAGCCAGCAGGCCGAGCCUCUGCAGGGCGCGGGUGCCCAGGCCGACCCAGGGCCUGCUCAGAAAGCUCCGGGGCCCCGCCCACCCCCGAGGGACGGCUCAGCACCCUCCCCGGGCCCCAGCCCCGAGCCACACCUCGGAGAAGCCGCCUUUGUUCCGCGGCUCCACGAACACGGGCUUCAGCGCCUCCAGCUUCCCGGCCGAGUCGUGGGUCUGUGACGAGACACAGGCAAGGGGGCGCCCGGCCCGCGGUCAGAGACGGUGCGUGUGGCCCCGCCGGCCCUACUGCGCGCCCCAGCCCAGGACGCACCCGCCAGAACUGCAGGCUCCUCUCCAGGACGGGGUAGGACGGGAAGAAGACCAGGAGCCCGUGGGGGACCACGCGGGCGAUGUUGCCUGCAGGCCACGGCUUCGUCAGCAAGAGGGCCUCACGGGGGCUGCGGGCAGGGGCCCGCCCUGGGGAUGGGGCGCCCGCCGGGAGGAGCCGGGGCCCCCCGCGCACUCACCUAGCGCCUUACCCAGGGAGGACAGGCACGCCUCCGAAAACCUGCGCAAAGCCAGAGCCCCGCGUCACCAGGGUCCUCACCAGGGUCCCCACCAGGGUCCUGGCAGAGGCAGAGGCAGAGGCACGCAGCCCGCCCCCCGCCCCCCAGGCCCCUACCGCUUGUCAAAGGCAGAGCUCAGCUGGGCUCCGUCGGGGCCUCUGGAGACGAUGCCCACCCAGAUCUGCUGCUGGUGGAUGACGUGUGGGUUCUCCAGGCAGACUGGGAAAGGGCUGGGGGCAGGGCGGCCCUGUGAGGUCCUGAGCCCAGCACCCUCAAGCCAGGGCUGGCCUGGGCCCCGCACCCGCAGCCGCCCGGGGCCGCCCUUACAUCUGCAUCUCCAGGGCAAAGGAGGACACGGGGGCCAGCGUGCCGCUGGUGAGGAUGACGGUGCGGACGCCCUGCUGCACCAGCUGCCGCAUGCUGUGGCCGGGGCUGAAGCACCAGUAGCUCAGCACCUUCCCUAG